Molecule: long non-coding RNA, 482 nt
Organism: Mercenaria mercenaria
Lineage: Eukaryota; Metazoa; Mollusca; Bivalvia; Venerida; Veneridae
Exons: 3
Source: RefSeq, a predicted model, not a curated record
AAACACGAUAUUAACAACGCGAAAACGCGAUAUUUUUGCUUCGUGUUUUCGUGUGAAAGUAUCGCGUUUUCGCGUAAAAAUAUCGCGUUUUCGCGAUUUCGCCCCUAGGACGACAACGCGAAACUGCGAUGGCCCCAACGGAACACCGUACAUAUGGAAGUAAUUGGAAUAAAUUCGGAAGUUUACAUGACUGCUGUCAAAAGGCCUCCCUCGUGUUUACAUAUUUUGACAGGUCGAGUUGUUCUUGGACUAGGAACAAUGAUGAAUGAAUAUCUGCACCAUGGAACCAGUGUCAUUUGCAAACUGUUUGAACCUGUGCUGGGCGUGCACAUUGACAUUUCUUAUUCAACAGGAAUACAUGAUGUCGACCAACAGUACAGCUAGAUGAAGAAAUAAAUUUAUCCGAAGAAAUAAUGGGACAAUGUCAAUGCUAAAAUUGCCAAAAGAAGACUGCCAUAUUUACACACCAUUUUAUACAGGUA